CCUACGGGGUGCACCAGUGGGGAAUAUUGCACAAUGGGCGCAAGCCUGAUGCAGCCAUGCCGCGUGUAUGAAGAAGGCCUUCGGGUUGUAAAGUACUUUCAGCGGGGAGGAAGGUGUUGUGGUUAAUAACCACAGCAAUUGACGUUACCCGCAGAAGAAGCACCGGCUAACUCCGUGCCAGCAGCCGCGGUAAUACGGAGGGUGCAAGCGUUAAUCGGAAUUACUGGGCGUAAAGCGCACGCAGGCGGUCUGUCAAGUCGGAUGUGAAAUCCCCGGGCUCAACCUGGGAACUGCAUUCGAAACUGGCAGGCUAGAGUCUUGUAGAGGGGGGUAGAAUUCCAGGUGUAGCGGUGAAAUGCGUAGAGAUCUGGAGGAAUACCGGUGGCGAAGGCGGCCCCUUGGACAAAGACUGACGCUCAGGUGCGAAAGCGUGGGGAGCAAACAGGAUUAGAUACCCCAGUAGUC
Molecule: ribosomal RNA, 465 nt
Filed under: uncultured bacterium
Lineage: Bacteria
Description: bacterial SSU rRNA
Rfam family: Bacterial small subunit ribosomal RNA
Source: RNAcentral